This 1451-nucleotide ribosomal RNA is filed under the name uncultured bacterium. RNAcentral's name for it is "bacterial SSU rRNA". It matches the Rfam family "Bacterial small subunit ribosomal RNA". The record is from RNAcentral.
AGAGUUUGAUCCUGGCUCAGGAUGAACGCUGGCGGUGUGGAUUAGGCAUGCAAGUCGAAUGUCACUUGUGACAUGGCGAACGAGUCAGUAACACGUAGAUAACGAACCUUAGAGUUUGGCAUAAUCCCGCGAAAGCGGGGCUAAUUCCAGAUAGUCCCUUUACUAUUAAUUAGUUUAGGGUAAAGAUUUAUCGCUCUGAGAUCGGUCUGCGGCCUAUCAGCUUGUUGGUGAGGUAACGGCCCACCAAGGCUAUGACGGGUAGGGGGCAUGAGAGUGUGUUCCCCGACGCUAGCACUGCGACACGGGCUAGACUCCUACGGGAGGCAGCAGUCGAGAAUAUUGGACAAUGGACGAAAGUCUGAUCCAGCGACACCGCGUGUUUGAAGAAGCCCUUCGGGGUGUAAAAAACUUUUAUAGAGGAAGAAUGCCUUUUUGGCAUGACGGUACUCUACGAAUAAGGGGAUGCUAAUCACGUGCCAGCAGCCGCGGUAAAACGUGAUCCCCGAGCGUUAUCCGGAUUUAUUGGGCGUAAAGCGUCUGUAGGCGGUAUAGCAAGUUUGAUGUUAAAGUUUUUGGGCUUAACCUAAAAAAUGCAUCGAAAACUACUAAACUAGAGGGCAUUAGAGGUUGGCAGAACGGUCGGUGUAGGGGUGAUAUCCGUUGAUAUCGACUGGAAUACCGAAAGCGAAGGCAGCCAACUGGGGUGACCCUGACGCUCAGAGACGAAAGCAUGGGUAGCAAAAAGGAUUAGAUACCCUUGUAGUCCAUGCUGUAAACGAUGGAUACUAGCUAUUUGAAGUGUCGACCCUUCAAGUGGCGAAGCUAACGCGUUAAGUAUCCCGCCUGGGAAGUACGGCCGCAAGGCUAAAACUCAAAGGAAUAGACGGGGUCUCACACAAGCGGUGGAUCAUGUGGCUUAAUUCGACAGUAAGCGAGGAACCUUACCAGAACUUGACAUGAUAGUGAAAUUCCAGAGAAAUUUGGAACUCCCGCAAGGACACUAUCACAGGUGUUGCAUGGUUGUCGUCAGCUCGUACCUUGAGGCGUACGCUUAAGUGCGGUAACGGGCGCAACCCUUGUCCUAUGUUUUAUAUGUCAUAGGAGACUGCCUAGGAUAACUAGGAGGAAGGUGAGGAUGACGCCAAAUCAGCAUGACCCUUUGACGUUCUGGGCUGCACACGUGAUACAAUGACUACUACAAUGGGUUGCCAAGUCGUAAGGCGGAGCUAAUCCCAUCAAAAGUAGCCUCAGUUCGGAUUGAGGUCUGCAACUCGACCUCAUGAAGCCGGAAUCGCUAGUAAUCGCCAAUCAGCCAUGUGGCGAUGAAUACGUUCUUGAGACUUGUACUCACCGCCCGUCAACUCAAGCGAGCUGGGAAUACCCAAAGUCCCACGUUAGAUGUGGGCCUAAGGUAGAUUCAGUGAGAAGGAGUAAGUCGUAACAAGGUAACC